GGAGAAAUGGCUCAGAGCUUAAGAGCACUGGCUGCUCUUCCAGAGGUCCUGAGUUCAACUCCCAGUAACUACA
Non-coding RNA from Cricetulus griseus (Chinese hamster), 73 nucleotides. The record is from Rfam. Lineage: Eukaryota; Metazoa; Chordata; Mammalia; Rodentia; Cricetidae.